GUAAAUACAACAGUUCCACAGAGCUGGUGCAGACCCUCACACCUAUACAGUCCAUGAGCACACUGAGGAUUCCCAGCAGCACUACAGAUUAAGGACACAACCAGAGCACCUUCAGGAGAAAAGCCUGGAGCUUUCACCAUGUGCCCACCACGUGAAAAAAAUGUGGCUUCAUUUCCCUGCUCUCCCCAAGAGGCCUCAAGCCUUCAUUCCCUCCAUCACAGCAGCUCCUGCAGUGGCUCCAGCUCUGCCUCUUCCAGCCAGGCUUUGGCAGGGGAUGAAAAGUCAAACUGCCUCCAACUUCCAAGGAAUAAAUGUAAAUAAGGAGCUCAGAGCAGGGAUCAGGGCUGGGAAUGCUGCAGGAUGGGACAACAGAGAACCAGCCUCAGGAGGUGUUUCUGGAUAUAACACUCGCACAUCUCUUUUACUCCACAGGGCAUCUUUGUUUGCUCUUUUUCUUCUUCAAAAGCAAAAGCUUUCAGCAAAACACAGCUUCCAGGGCUCAGUGCAUUACAGAGCAAGGUCAGAGGUCUCCCCUUCAAAGCAAGCCUUUUACAUUGGAAACACUGGGAAUGUGCUCUGUGCCAGCAAGGAAGGAAAAUAAGGUUGGCUGGAGGACCACUCAUCCUAGAUUUGUUUUCCCCCUACAAAGGCUCCUGCAAUGCUGAGGCAAUUUACUCACAGCCCUGCAAAUGUCGACACGGAUAUCUGGGGUCGCUGGACUCGGCUCUUUCACCUCAGAUCAGAUCCCUGAUGCUUUGGAAUAAAGCAGCCCCUUCAGGCAGCAC
This is a long non-coding RNA of Passer domesticus (house sparrow), 785 nucleotides long. RefSeq lists it as uncharacterized. The record is from RefSeq and is a predicted model, not a curated record. The transcript is spliced from 3 exons. Lineage: Eukaryota; Metazoa; Chordata; Aves; Passeriformes; Passeridae.